Molecule: long non-coding RNA, 599 nt
Filed under: Equus caballus (horse)
Lineage: Eukaryota; Metazoa; Chordata; Mammalia; Perissodactyla; Equidae
Description: lncRNA (ENSECAG00000045802.1)
Source: RNAcentral
UGCGUGGAACGAUUCCUAAAGAGCCUGGUAUGAGAAAAGCCUGGCAUUGGGCAAAGUGCGGAAGCUCUGCUGCUAAAACCUGGCGGCCAGGUUAGAGUGAAGCUGCAAGGUGGACGCUGAGCUAUGGAUUCCUGUUCAGAGGCCACAUGAGUCCCAGUGCUUGGGGUGGGGCUGAGGCUGCAGAUCUGCACUAAGAGCUUCCAGCUGUCAGGGAAUAAGCGGGCCAUUUACAUGACACAAGCAGCCAUCCUGUGAAAUGACGCAGCGCACUGAGGAUGGAAGAUUAGCCCUGAGCUAACAUCUGCAGCUAAUCCUCUUCUUUUUGCUGAGGAAGACUGAUGCUGAGCUAACAUCUGUGCCCAUCCUGCUCUGCUCUAUAUAUGGGACACCUGCUGCAGCAUGGCUCGACAAGUGGUAGGUAGGUCUGCACCCAGGAUCUGAACCUGGGAACCCUAGGCGGCUGAAGCAGAACGUGCAAACUUAACCAGUGUGACCAGGCUGGCCCCAUUUUUGUUCUCUCUUGAAUGCUCUUUGUCCCGCUGUUGAAAUCCAAGGCGCUGUUCAGGGCCCAGCUCUGGGAAGUCUCCCCCACUGCUCAC